GAUGAAGAACGUAGUGAAAUGCGAUAACUAGUGUGAAUUGCAGAAUUCCGUGAAUCAUCGAGUCUUUGAACGCACAUUGCGCCCCCUGGUAUUCCGGGGGGCAUGCCUGUCCGAGCGUCAUUGCUGCCCUCAAGCACGGCUUGUGUGUUGGGCCUCCGCCCCCCGGCUCCCGGGGGGCGGGCCCGAAAGGCAGCGGCGGCACCGCGUCCGGUCCUCGAGCGUAUGGGGCUUCGUCACCCGCUCCGUAGGCCCGGCCGGCGCCCGCCGGCGACCCCCCUCAAUCUUUCCAGGUUGACCUCGGAUCAGGUAGGGAUACCCGCUGAACUUAAGCAUAUCAAUAAGCGGAGGA
Molecule: unclassified non-coding RNA, 349 nt
Filed under: soil metagenome
Description: partial contains 5.8S ribosomal RNA, internal transcribed spacer 2, and large subunit ribosomal RNA
Rfam family: 5.8S ribosomal RNA (bases 1-120)
Source: RNAcentral